UUCAUCGAGAAAUCCUGAGCCUUUGGGUUCAGGGGGGAGUACCGUCGCAAGGCGGAAACUUAAAGGAAUUGACGGAACGACACCACCAGACGUGGAGUAUGCGGCUUAAUUUGACUCAACACGGGGAACGUUACUGCGUCAGCACAAGGCUGGGAUGGACAGGUUGAUCGCCCUUUCUCGAUUCCUUGAACGGUGGUGCAUGGCCGCUUCUGGUUGGUGGAGUGAUUUGUCUGGCUGAUUCCGUUAACGAGCGAGAUCCCCGCCUCCAAUUGGUCACCGGCCUCGUACUUUGUAGGGGAUUCAGUCUUUCUGCUGUUUUCAGUGGUUAGAUCUAUGAGCCCUGAGAGCGUCGGUGCAAAACAUCUCAGAGGGCCGGACACGCAUCCAAGUGUCGACAUAUUCAGAAGGCGACAGCAGGUCUGUGAUGCCCCCAGAUGUUCCGGGCUGCACGCGCACGACAUUGACUCGGUGAUCGCGCUGAACACACAAAAAAAGCCUCCCCUCUUUGCUUCCUCAGUGAGCAAUUUGGGGUGGGUUCCUACCUGGACGCGGAUGGGCCAUCUCAAAAGCCCGUGCCGUACUGGGGAUCGAUGGUUGCAACUGUUUGCCUUGAACGAGGAAUGCCUUGUAGGCGCAGGUCAUCAGCCUGCAUCGACUAUGUCCCUGCCAUUUGUACACACCGCCCGUCGUUGCUACCGAUGAUGUGGGGAUAGAGGACUGGAGAGGCUGUGGGAGAGACCCCUUCUGGGGGAAUCACUCAUUCGUGCCAAACCUGCCCAAUGUUCACGUGUUAGAGAUAGCAAAAGUCGUAACAAGGUUGUCGUAGGGGAACCUGUGACAGGAUCACU
Molecule: ribosomal RNA, 848 nt
Filed under: Neometanema parovale
Lineage: Eukaryota; Euglenozoa; Anisonemea; Natomonadida; Neometanemidae
Description: SSU rRNA
Rfam family: Eukaryotic small subunit ribosomal RNA
Source: RNAcentral